This 1053-nucleotide long non-coding RNA is filed under the name Phascolarctos cinereus (koala). RNAcentral's name for it is "lncRNA (ENSPCIG00000030867.1)". Lineage: Eukaryota; Metazoa; Chordata; Mammalia; Diprotodontia; Phascolarctidae. The record is from RNAcentral.
AGGACUCUCACAUAAAAGAGAGAUUAGAUGUGUUCUUCUUGCUCUCAGGAGUUUGAAUGGAAGUUGCUAAGAAGCAAAUUUAGACUUGACACCCGGAAGACUCAGAAAGUGGUGGGUUCUUCUCUCUGGAGGCCUUCAAGUAAAGGCUUGAUGACCUCUUGUUGGGUGGGUUACACAGGGGAUUCUUGUGCAGGUUUGGGUGGGACUGUUUGGGCCACUCAGGUUGCUUAUGUUGCUGAGAUUCUGUGAGCACCAGGCAGUGUUAGGUCUCCAAAAGAAAGCACAGGGUUGAUCAGAGCUUCUCUCCCUUCUGAACACAAGCCAAAGGCCCAUAUGGGAGAGAGGACCAGAGCCACCUGUGCACGCUAUAAAAAGCAGCAACUCCGGUAACCCCUUUCUGUUUAACAUCCAGGGGAAGAGCACAGAGCUUCCAAACCACCUUCCCAACAUAGAAGCCUGUCAGCAAGCUGAUCACUGUUACCGAAUCCAGAGGUGCUCUGCAAUCCAGUUUGCACAAGUCUCAGGGAGCAGCACGAAGGGGAAGCUUUGAUGGCAACCACAACACAGAACCCGGUCAGAACCCUAAGUCAGCUCCGAUGUUCUGCACCUUCCCUGGGGUUGGGCAAGGCCUUAUGCAAUUCAUGGUCAUCAACCAGAGGCAGCCUGGCCCGUGCCAUGUCUGUCGCUCGAUGCCCCUUUGUGCAGGGCCCAUCACAGAACAAUGCAGAACGAAUCCUUAAUGACCAAGUGCUGCUGACUCGGGGCACAAAGACCCAGCAGAGGCACCUUUUUCUUUCCAAAGAUGGUCUGGUCAUUGCCAAGUUAAAGUAAGAUUUGACCUUAUCAACUAGCCUCUGCUAACAAACCCACACUUUUUCCACGUUGCAAAUACAUGGGAAAAAAUGACUCAAGAGAGUUAUAGAAGAAAGGGAAAGGGCCUUUAAAAAUCAUAAGCAAUUGCCUCAUUUUAUAGGUGAAGAAAAAGAGGGAAGAACCCAAGAUCAUGCAGCUAGUUAGCAGCAGAGAUGAGACUAGGCAGACUUACAGUUAAAA